GACGUAGGGCGCGAGCGUUGUCCGGAUUUAUUGGGCGUAAAGAGCUCGUAGGCGGCUUGUCGCGUCGUUCGUGAAAACUCACAGCUCAACUGUGAGCUUGCGGUCGAUACGGGCAGGCUAGAGUUCGGUAGGGGAGACUGGAAUUCCUGGUGUAGCGGUGAAAUGCGCAGAUAUCAGGAGGAACACCGGUGGCGAAGGCGGGUCUCUGGGCCGAUACUGACGCUGAGGAGCGAAAGCGUGGGGAGGGAACAGG
This 253-nucleotide ribosomal RNA is filed under the name uncultured bacterium. Its description in RNAcentral is "partial 16S ribosomal RNA". It matches the Rfam family "Bacterial small subunit ribosomal RNA", at positions 524 to 776 of the family's 1533-position model. The record is from RNAcentral.